AUGGCCGCCGCCUCCUCCUCCACCGUCCUUGGUCCGUCUCCACUAUCCGACGGCGACGGCGAGCGCCACGACCCCCCAAACUGGAUCCUCCUGGACGGAAAAGGCUACAUCGCUGAAUGCCCCAACGCCACCUUCGCCCAGGGCUCCACCAGCACCGGCUAACGCAUCGAGGUGUCCUUCUGCACGGCCCGCCCUCCCCACGUCCACUUCUGCGUCCACUGCCCGGGCCUCGGACCCGCCGAUUUUUCCUUGGCUCCCAUGAUCAUCAGCGCGGAGCUCAUCCUCUUCUGCGUGUCCGUCAGCCCUUCCAUCCUCUUCAAUCCGCGUUACCGUGAGUACUUCCUCUACAAGGCGCACCCUCGGUGCCCGGUGCUGGAGCUUCUUCCCCACCCGUACCCGCACCACUUCCGCGACUAGGAGGUCGCCCUCCUGAGCCUCGGCGACGACGGGGCUGAGUACGCCAUUGCCAUUCUCACAAGCAGGUGCCUGAAGGAGGAUGGUACGCUCAACGAGACGGAGUUUGAUCUUUGCCUAUACCGCUCCUCCAAAGCUCAGGAGGGGUGGACAUCCAAGGUGGUGUCCGUGGCAGAUCCAGUGAGGGACGCGGUGUGCCCUGUGGAUUGUGCACCAUACCAUGAGACAACCAAGGUGAUCACGCUCCGGCGUGGCAUGGUCUGCUGGGUUGACCUCUGGCGUGGCAUCCUCCUCUGCAAUGUGCUCGAGGAAAAUCCCCUUCUCCUUGACAUCCCGCUACCGCUGCCGGCGAGAGUUAACUGGAGACUCUACCACAAAUCCAGCUCAUACAAAUAUCGGGACAUCACCGUCAGCCCGCUCAAGGAUAGCAUCAAGCACAUUGAGACUGAAGUCUGCCCACCAAGAAACCCUCCUCCUGAUGAGUCCUCUUGUACGGGUUGGAAGGCCAGGACAUGGAGCCUAUCGACCACCACGGUUCCUUCAUGGAAUGACUGGCGCCUGGACUGCACCCUCGAUGUUGCUGACAUCGAUGUCCAACCAAUCCAUUCUAAGCAGCUGCCUAGCCCGAGGAGCAUCAGCGACAACCUCACCCAAGGGACGUUACUGCAAUGCCUCAUCAUUGGGUUCCCCACCUUGAGCAUGGAUGAUGAUGUUGUGUACAUGCUUUCUAAGGCCUGCCCUGCGGACCAGAUGGAAGUAGUGAUUGUUGUUGAUAUGAGGAAGAAGGCGCUUCAGGGAGUGGCUAAGCUUGUUACCGGAAAAGAUUUCACUGAUACACGUAUUUGCACCAGUGAAAUCUCCAAAUAUCUUAGGAAAGAUGAAGGUAAUUUUGCUUACUACUUGCUUUGUGUAUGUGUGACUACAUGUAUGAAUUAUCUGUUUAUCUUAAACCCCCUCCGUCCGAAAAAGCCUGACAUGAGACAAGCUUUUUCGGACGGAGGUAUGUACUGA
Molecule: ribosomal RNA, 1425 nt
Filed under: Triticum aestivum (bread wheat)
Lineage: Eukaryota; Viridiplantae; Streptophyta; Magnoliopsida; Poales; Poaceae
Description: partial small subunit ribosomal RNA
Source: RNAcentral